RNAcentral lists this ribosomal RNA (1017 nucleotides) under uncultured organism. RNAcentral's name for it is "bacterial SSU rRNA". It matches the Rfam family "Bacterial small subunit ribosomal RNA", at positions 356 to 1376 of the family's 1533-position model. The record is from RNAcentral.
GAGGAAUAUUGGUCAAUGGACGAGAGUCUGAACCAGCCAAGUAGCGUGAAGGAUGACUGCCCUAUGGGUUGUAAACUUCUUUUAUACGGGAAUAAAGUGAGGCACGUGUGCCUUUUUGUAUGUACCGUAUGAAUAAGGAUCGGCUAACUCCGUGCCAGCAGCCGCGGUAAUACGGAGGAUCCGAGCGUUAUCCGGAUUUAUUGGGUUUAAAGGGAGCGUAGGCGGACGCUUAAGUCAGUUGUGAAAGUUUGCGGCUCAACCGUAAAAUUGCAGUUGAUACUGGGUGUCUUGAGUACAGUAGAGGCAGGCGGAAUUCGUGGUGUAGCGGUGAAAUGCUUAGAUAUCACGAAGAACUCCGAUUGCGAAGGCAGCUUGCUGGACUGUAACUGACGCUGAUGCUCGAAAGUGUGGGUAUCAAACAGGAUUAGAUACCCUGGUAGUCCACACAGUAAACGAUGAAUACUCGCUGUUUGCGAUAUACAGUAAGCGGCCAAGCGAAAGCGUUAAGUAUUCCACCUGGGGAGUACGCCGGCAACGGUGAAACUCAAAGGAAUUGACGGGGGCCCGCACAAGCGGAGGAACAUGUGGUUUAAUUCGAUGAUACGCGAGGAACCUUACCCGGGCUUGAAUUGCAACUGAAUGAUGUGGAGACAUGUCAGCCGCAAGGCAGUUGUGAAGAUGCUGCAUGGUUGUCGUCAGCUCGUGCCGUGAGGUGUCGGCUUAAGUGCCAUAACGAGCGCAACCCUUAUCGAUAGUUACCAUCAGGUUAUGCUGGGGACUCUGUCGAGACUGCCGUCGUAAGAUGUGAGGAAGGUGGGGAUGACGUCAAAUCAGCACGGCCCUUACGUCCGGGGCUACACACGUGUUACAAUGGGGGGUACAGAAGGCAGCUACACGGCGACGUGAUGCUAAUCCCUAAAGCCUCUCUCAGUUCGGAUUGGAGUCUGCAACCCGACUCCAUGAAGCUGGAUUCGCUAGUAAUCGCGCAUCAGCCACGGCGCGGUGAAUACGUUCCCG